RNAcentral lists this long non-coding RNA (506 nucleotides) under Brassica napus (rape). RNAcentral describes it as "long non-coding RNA (BNAP_LNC011573)". The record is from RNAcentral. Lineage: Eukaryota; Viridiplantae; Streptophyta; Magnoliopsida; Brassicales; Brassicaceae.
GAAUAAGAUCAAAACAGACAACACUCAAGCAACGCAAACGCAGAUAAUUUCAUUACAAACAAGAAACAUGUUCCUCCCAUCAAACAUUCAUCACAACAUCUGCAAUAUCAACCAAAAAAAUGUUUCCUUUCAAUUAUAAAUUCCUUCACAGUCCGCCCUGGAAUUUCUAGAAUCAUCAACCAAGUCAUCAGCAUCCAUAGCUACAACUGUUGGCAAUGGACCAACAUCUGCAUGACCAUCUUCACAAUCGUCUUCACUGUAUCUUCUUGUAGGACCUCUCAUAGCUACAUACCAACCGGAUGACUCAUCUACUCUAGAAUAAAAUAUUUGCUUGGCUUGUGAGGCGAGGAUGUAUGGAUCUCUAGCAAAAGCCAUUUGGCUUUGGUUCAGGUUGACUAGUGUGAAGCCAUCUUCUACCUUCACUCCAUUUCCUAUGUUUGCCCAUUGGCACCGGAAUACAGGAAUGUAGAAUGUAUUGUAGUGGAUCAGUAGAAUCUCCACCACUC